UUUAAAUACAGCCAUAAAUUUUUAUAUCUAACUUUGGUUAUCCGUCUUAUUUAAAAUUUUCUAUAAUUAAUAUUUUUAUUGUUUUAUAUGAUAAAAUAUGAAUAAUACUUUAUGUAUGACUUAUGUUUGUUAAUUUUUUUUUAGAAAGUUUUUAAAUAAGAUAGAUAAUUAAAGUUAGAUAGGAAACUUAUGACUGUAUUUAAA
Non-coding RNA from Oryza nivara, 204 nucleotides. NCBI's taxonomy places the organism in Eukaryota, Viridiplantae, Streptophyta, Magnoliopsida, Poales, Poaceae. The record is from Rfam.